CUACGGGCUGCUCCAGUGGGGAAUAUUGCACAAUGGGCGCAAGCCUGAUGCAGCCAUGCCGCGUGUAUGAAGAAGGCCUUCGGGUUGUAAAGUACUUUCAGCGGGGAGGAAGGGAGUAAAGUUAAUACCUUUGCUCAUUGAUGUUACCCGCAGAAGAAGCACCGGCUAACUCCGUGCCAGCAGCCGCGGUAAUACGGAGGGUGCAAGCGUUAAUCGGAAUUACUGGGCGUAAAGCGCACGCAGGCGGUUUGUUAAGUCAGAUGUGAAAUCCCCGGGCUCAACCUGGGAACUGCAUCUGAUACUGGCAAGCUUGAGUCUCGUAGAGGGGGGUAGAAUUCCAGGUGUAGCGGUGAAAUGCGUAGAGAUCUGGAGGAAUACCGGUGGCGAAGGCGGCCCCCUGGACGAAGACUGACGCUCAGAUGCGAAAGCGUGGGGAGCAAACAGGAUUAGAUACCCCAGUAGUC
RNAcentral lists this ribosomal RNA (464 nucleotides) under uncultured bacterium. RNAcentral describes it as "partial 16S ribosomal RNA". It matches the Rfam family "Bacterial small subunit ribosomal RNA", at positions 339 to 795 of the family's 1533-position model. The record is from RNAcentral.